UUCUCCAUCCUAUCCUUGUAGUAGUGUCCCUCUAGGUGUUCUCCAUCUAGUUGUAUUUUAGAAAAGGGGAGGAGAGUGAGAGUAGAAGAGAGGAGGAGGAGCCAGAUUUGUCGGAAUCUCCUCAGCUUUUGUACCUCUACGGGUCUACUUCAACUCGAGUUUCUUUCAGGCUCGGGGGCUACUCCAUAUGGAGUGCAAGUUCAUUGUGCACCAUAUAAAAAGAAGACUUUCGAGGCUAGAGCACCUCACAGCCUCAUUGCAGUCGGAACUACUUGGAAGACUACUCGAAGCACUCGACGAGAAGCUAGGGAGUACCCAAUGGGAGGCUUAGAAACACUCGAUGGGAUAUUUAGAUCACUCGGAGCACUCGAAGACGCCUUUAGAAGUACUCGACGCCUGCAGGACUCGGCUAUGAAGAGCUCGCGAGUUUGUCAGACCCAGGCAGUGGGACUACUCAGAGGCGUGGAAUAUUCUGGAAUAAGGAAUAGCACAUGGCAUGUACCUUAUCCUGUUGUAACUACUCGUGCAGAAGUAGGACUAGUCGAAUAGAAGUAAACUACCCGAUAGACAUUGGUAAGAACUCUUUGUACAGUAUUUGACUAGGAUUUCCAUGUAACCCUCUCCCCCAAGACUAUAUAAGGGUGGGCAGGAACCCUCUUGAAGCA
Molecule: long non-coding RNA, 665 nt
Organism: Panicum virgatum (switchgrass)
Lineage: Eukaryota; Viridiplantae; Streptophyta; Magnoliopsida; Poales; Poaceae
Exons: 2
Source: RefSeq, a predicted model, not a curated record